Molecule: long non-coding RNA, 2834 nt
Organism: Mustela putorius furo (domestic ferret)
Lineage: Eukaryota; Metazoa; Chordata; Mammalia; Carnivora; Mustelidae
Source: Ensembl
CGUCAGGCUGUGGAAAAUGGACGUUUCUGUAGGGCAGCGGUCCUUCGUGUGGGGUCCUGGAAUCAGCUUGAUAGACAUGCAUGUUCUCGAGCCUACCCCACACCUAGGGAGUCACUGUGGGUUGGGAGCCAGCAGUCUGCGUUUUAGAAGGCCUUGCAAUGGGUUCUUCUGCACGACCAGCUUGAGAGAGCACAUCACCAUGGAGCCUGAGUUGGGGUCCCCACCUGUCAUGGGGUGGCAUCUCUCCUCUCCCUAUCUGUGUUUACUGUUUUUCUCCUUGGUGAUGGUGAUGGGCAGCUGGACUGUUCCAGAUAAAGGAUGAUUUCCAUUUCCCAAGGCUUCCUCCCUGAAAAUCCUGGCACAUUUGAAAUCACAACCCUGGAGAAGUCAACCGGCUGCAUUUGGGGGACUGAGCCCUUCAGGGUUAACCCCGCCUUGGAUUAAAAACAGUAUUGAAAGCCCUGGCGUCAUCUUACAUUACCAAGGGGCCUCACUGGACAGAUGCUCAGGCUGGGAACUCUGAGGAUAGAAAGGCGGAGAAGGUUGUGUCCACUCAAGGGAGGCAUAGACUGAGACUCUGUAGAAAACAACUUUGAAGUCUCAGAGCCAUGUGAGUGUAUGUGUGUGGUUGUGAUUGUGUGUGUGUUGCUACUCUCUGUGUGGUUUGAGGGGUGGGGGGAGAAGGGAGAGAAAGAACAGCUUCCUCUUCAGGGAGAAGAGUUUCAAGAGUAGCAAGGCUGGGCUCCUGUGAUCAAAGGACAGGAAGACACACUCAGCUGGCUUUGAGCAGGGCUUGCUGGGAAAUGCCAUAGUGUGUGUUCCUGGCUCAGUCCCUGGGGGCAGGGGCAGCGGUCCCCCUCCCUGCUUUCUGAAAUCUUCUCCGGUGGUGUCUCCCACCAUCUCUGCUUCUCCCACAAUCUCCCACCCUGCAGAUUCCCAAGCAGGUGAGGUCUCCUUAGGCAGUGGCUGGUGGCACCCCGCCACCCCAUCCCGGAGCCUCUGUGGACAACUCCAGAGAUGUCCCCGGUGCACAGAGGGUUAACCUAGUGGGCUGGGGGGUGGGGGUGCUGCACAUUCAAAAAAAAAAAAAAAAAANNNNNNNNNNNNNNNNNNNNNNNAAAAAAAAAAAAAAAAAAGCCCAAGAACCAGACUGGUCUCCUGGGAGGGAACUGCUAAGCCCUUGGAAUGUCCCUUUAAGGGUGUCUUUGCUUACCUGGGGACUCUGGCUGGCCAGGGCAUCUACUCCAACAACAUGAUUUAUGCUGAACACCUGCUUCUGCCACCAGCCUCCCUCCAUCAGUCUGACCUCUGGAGGGGAUGAAGGCGACCUGGGUGCUCCGUGCCUGGGGGAACAACUCCCAGAAAAACCCUGGAUCGCAAGGCUCCGGUAACUCUCCAGGCUCCCUCUUAUACCCACCAGAAAAGCCAGGAUCGCUUUGCUUUUUGAAAAUGGCGCUGACUUCAUUAACAAAAUGAAGACGUGUCAAAACAUGUCGAGCUCGCCGGAAAUGGUGGUAUGUUUUGAUCAGCUACAUUUAACAGAUGAGGGCUCUGAUACUCACAACCGGUCAGGUGAUGCGAUCACCCUGAAACAGACAAGAGGGGGCUCAGGAAAGAGGAAGGAUUUCUGGUGCAUCGCAGGAUGGCCCAGGCCUUGGGUCUUGAGCAUCCAGAUGGCUUACUUCUGAGACCGAAAGUCCACCUGGAAAUGCCCAUUGAUUGGAGGGGGUAGCCGUCUGCGGGUUCCACGCAGCCUGCAUAGUUUCUAAGGGGUCAUUUUUAGUAAAUGCAGUGAAAGGCUGAAAAAGUUGUAAUAGGAUCUCCUUUGUUGGUCAAAGAAUAAGAUACCCCAGGGGCACCUGGCUGACUCAGUCAGGGGAGCACGCAACUCUUGACAUUGGGGUCUGAGUUCGAGCCCCAUGUUGAGGGGUAGAGUUUACUUAAUAAAAAAAAUUUUUUUUAAAUACCCCCAAAUAACUUUUGUAUCUGUGUAUGUGUCCACAGCAGGCUUUGCUGAACAAAGAGGAAUGUGAAAGUUGAGUCGGAGUUCAAGAGGUAGGGGCAGGAGCACAGCCAAAUACUGACUUCGUGACUCGGCUUUGUGACCUCUCUGGGCCUCAGUGUCCUCAUCUGUAAAAUGGAGAUAAUAAGAUCUGCCUUGCAGAGUACACGGAAAAGGCUUCUAACAGCUCCUGGCACAGGCAGCGUUCAGUACAAGGUGUGGGGCGUUAACCUGGUUGUGUAGGGAGAAGAGGUUUGUGGGUCCAGACCACAAAGUUGGUAAAAGAUCACUGCUCCGUGAUAAUGUUCGUCCGCUCACUUCAAGUCUUUUGUGCGUAUAAAGAAAUAAAGUAGAAACACUUUUUAAAAAGAAAAUUGCAGGGGUGCCUGGGUGGCUCAGUCGGUUAAAGCCUGCUGCCUGCCUCUCUGCCUACUUGUGCUCUCUGUCUGUCAAAUAAAUAAAUAAAUAAUCUUUAAAGAAAAGAAAAGAAGGAAUGCACAUGUGAACAAACAACAGAUGGUUUUCAUUGGGUUUCCGUAAAGAGAAAACAGCACUGUGGGCAGGAGUCUAAUCUCCGGAGGUCCGAACUGAGUUCAAGUUCUGAUCUCUCCUGGGGCUCCCCCUUACUGACUGUGUGACCUUAGGUGUGUCUCUCAGCUCCAUGGGCGUUGCUUUCCCCGACUGGACGGGGAGGGGGGAAGUAGCCCCUCCCUCACAGGAUGUCAUUGAAGUUUCUUUCUUUUUUUUUUUUUUAAGAUUUUAUUUAUUUAUUUGACAGAGGGAGAGAGAUCACAAGUAGGCAGAGAGGCAGGCAGAGAGAGAGGGGGAAGCA